AGUUUGAUCAUGGCUCAGGACGAACGCUGGCGGUGUGCCUCACACAUACAAGUCGAGCGGACGAAGAUUGAAGCUUGCUUCAGUCCAAGUUAGCGGCGGACGGGUGAGUAACACGUAGGAAUCUGCCUUCAGGCGGGGGACAACGGAACGAAAGUUGCGCUAAUACCCCAUAUGCGAGUAAUCGUAAAAGGAGCAAUCCACCGGAAGAUGAGCCUGCGUCCGAUUAGCUAGUUGGUAGGGUAAAAGCCUACCAAGGCUACGAUCGGUAGUUGGUCUGAGAGGAUGAUCAGCCACAAUGGAACUGAGACACGGUCCAUACUCCUACGGGAGGCAGCAGUGGGGAAUUUUACGCAAUGGGCGAAAGCCUGACGUAGCGACACCGCGUGAGCGAAGAAGCCUUUUGGGGUGUAAAGCUCUGUCAGCUGGAACGAACACAAUGACGGUACCAGCAGAGGAAGCAUCGGCUAACUACGUG
RNAcentral lists this ribosomal RNA (475 nucleotides) under uncultured bacterium. Its description in RNAcentral is "bacterial SSU rRNA". It matches the Rfam family "Bacterial small subunit ribosomal RNA", at positions 10 to 507 of the family's 1533-position model. The record is from RNAcentral.